Molecule: unclassified non-coding RNA, 337 nt
Filed under: soil metagenome
Description: partial contains 5.8S ribosomal RNA, internal transcribed spacer 2, and large subunit ribosomal RNA
Rfam family: 5.8S ribosomal RNA (bases 1-120)
Source: RNAcentral
GAUGAAGAACGUAGCGAAAUGCGAUAAGUAGUGUGAAUUGCAGAAUUCAGUGAAUCAUCGAAUCUUUGAACGCACAUUGCGCCCCUUGGUAUUCCAUGGGGCAUGCCUGUUCGAGCGUCAUUUGUACCUUCAAGCUCUGCUUGGUGUUGGGUGUUUGUCUCGCCUCUGCGUGUAGACUCGCCUCAAAAUAAUUGGCAGCCGGCGUAUUGAUUUCGGAGCGCAGUACAUCUCGCGCUUUGCACUCAUAACGACGACGUCCAAAAGUACAUUAUUACACUCUUGACCUCGGAUCAGGUAGGGAUACCCGCUGAACUUAAGCAUAUCAAUAAGCGGAGGA